UACGGGGGGGGCAAGCGUUGUUCGGAAUUACUGGGCGUAAAGGGCGCGUAGGCGGCCUGCUAAGUCGAACGUGAAAUCCCCGGGCUCAACCCGGGAACUGCGUCCGAUACUGGCUGGCUUGAAUCCGGGAGAGGGAUGCGGAAUUCCCGGUGUAGAGGUGAAAUUCGUAGAUAUCGGGAGGAACACCAGUGGCGAAGGCGGCGAUCUGGGUCGAUACUGACGCUGAGGCACGAAAGCUAGGGUAGCGAACGGG
This 253-nucleotide ribosomal RNA is filed under the name uncultured bacterium. Its description in RNAcentral is "partial 16S ribosomal RNA". It matches the Rfam family "Bacterial small subunit ribosomal RNA", at positions 524 to 776 of the family's 1533-position model. The record is from RNAcentral.